Molecule: long non-coding RNA, 441 nt
Organism: Mesocricetus auratus (golden hamster)
Lineage: Eukaryota; Metazoa; Chordata; Mammalia; Rodentia; Cricetidae
Exons: 2
Source: RefSeq, a predicted model, not a curated record
CUCUGGAGCUGUGGAUUGUGGUCUAGUUAUCCAUUUAUGAGAAGAAAUUGCUGUAAUAUUAAAUAGUUCACCAAAGAAAGCACUUGCUUAGAAAUUUCCAUCCUGCAAUAUGUUCUAAAAAAGCAAGCCACAGAUCUGGGAGGUGGAGGAUUUGAAGCUCUCCCCAACCUUCCUUCUGUUUCUGUUUCUGCAUGUGCUUCUGUCCUUGUCUGUGUGGGCAGAUGGCAUAUGUUCCUGAAAAUGUGUGUUUCAUAGUCUCGCUAGAGUUGUACACCUCUUCAAUACCAUGCACUUGAAAGACUCCCGACAACCCUGUUUUUGAGACAGAGAUCAUCUCCAUCUGAAUGUGUGGAAUCAAGAUAGAGAAGGCUGCAUACAAAGGAAAUAAAGACCCUGAUUUUGUCACACACACACACACACACACACACACACACACACACA